AACGCACAUUGCGCCCCUUGGUAUUCCGAGGGGCAUGCCUGUUCGAGCGUCAUUACACCACUCAAGCUAUGCUUGGUAUUGGGCGUCGUCCUUAGUUGGGCGCGCCUUAAAGACCUCGGCGAGGCCACUCCGGCUUUAGGCGUAGUAGAAUUUAUUCGAACGUCUGUCAAAGGAGAGGAACUCUGCCGACUGAAACCUUUAUUUUUCUAGGUUGACCUCGGAUCAGGUAGGGAUACCCGCUGAACUUAA
Molecule: unclassified non-coding RNA, 249 nt
Filed under: Aureobasidium sp.
Lineage: Eukaryota; Fungi; Ascomycota; Dothideomycetes; Dothideales; Saccotheciaceae
Also listed under: 5 other names
Description: partial contains 5.8S ribosomal RNA, internal transcribed spacer 2, and large subunit ribosomal RNA
Rfam family: 5.8S ribosomal RNA (bases 1-52)
Source: RNAcentral